GCCGAGGUAGCUCAGUCGGUAGAGCACGCGACUGAAAAUCGCGGUGUCGGCGGUUCAAUCCCGCCCCUCGGCACCC
This 76-nucleotide transfer RNA is filed under the name Chloroflexota bacterium. RNAcentral describes it as "Chloroflexi bacterium (freshwater metagenome) tRNA-Phe". It matches the Rfam family "tRNA". Rfam says of the family: Transfer RNA (tRNA) molecules are approximately 80 nucleotides in length. Their secondary structure includes four short double-helical elements and three loops (D, anti-codon, and T loops). Lineage: Bacteria; Bacillati; Chloroflexota. The record is from RNAcentral.